GAUCCUGGCUCAGGACGAACGCUGGCGGCGUGCUUAACACAUGCAAGUCGAGCGGUAAGGCCCUUCGGGGUACACGAGCGGCGAACGGGUGAGUAACACGUGGGUGAUCUGCCCUGUACUUCGGGAUAAGCCUGGGAAACUGGGUCUAAUACCGGAUAUGACCUUACAUCGCAUGGUGUUUGGUGGAAAGAUUUAUCGGUACAGGAUGGGCCCGCGGCCUAUCAGCUUGUUGGUGGGGUAAUGGCCUACCAAGGCGACGACGGGUAGCCGGCCUGAGAGGGCGACCGGCCACACUGGGACUGAGACACGGCCCAGACUCCUACGGGAGGCAGCAGUGGGGAAUAUUGCACAAUGGGCGAAAGCCUGAUGCAGCGACGCCGCGUGAGGGAUGACGGCCUUCGGGUUGUAAACCUCUUUCGACAGGGACGAAGCGCAAGUGACGGUACCUGUAGWARAAGCACCGGCCAACUACGUGCCAGCAGC
This 483-nucleotide ribosomal RNA is filed under the name Nocardia sp. 16-628. RNAcentral describes it as "bacterial SSU rRNA". It matches the Rfam family "Bacterial small subunit ribosomal RNA", at positions 15 to 515 of the family's 1533-position model. The record is from RNAcentral. Lineage: Bacteria; Bacillati; Actinomycetota; Actinomycetes; Mycobacteriales; Nocardiaceae.